GGGGAAUAUUGGACAAUGGGCGAAAGCCUGAUCCAGCAAUGCCGCGUGAGUGAAGAAGGCCUUCGGGUUGUAAAGCUCUUUUACCCGGGAUGAUAAUGACCGUACCGGGAGAAUAAGCCCCGGCUAACUCCGUGCCAGCAGCCGCGGUAAUACGGAGGGGGCUAGCGUUGUUCGGAAUCACUGGGCGUAAAGCGUGCGUAGGCGGCCAUUCAAGUCAGAGGUGAAAGCCCAGGGCUCAACCUUGGAACUGCCUUUGAAACUAGAUGGCUGGAACACGGGAGAGGUGAGUGGAAUUCCGAGUGUAGAGGUGAAAUUCGUAGAUAUUCGGAAGAACACCAGUGGCGAAGGCGGCUCACUGGACCGUUGUUGACGCUGAGGCACGAAAGCGUGGGGAGCAAACAGGA
RNAcentral lists this ribosomal RNA (404 nucleotides) under uncultured Sandarakinorhabdus sp. RNAcentral describes it as "bacterial SSU rRNA". It matches the Rfam family "Bacterial small subunit ribosomal RNA", at positions 356 to 777 of the family's 1533-position model. Lineage: Bacteria; Pseudomonadati; Pseudomonadota; Alphaproteobacteria; Sphingomonadales; Sphingosinicellaceae. The record is from RNAcentral.